UACGGAGGAUGCAAGCGUUAUCCGGAUUUAUUGGGUUUAAAGGGUGCGUAGGCGGAUAUGUAAGUCAGCGGUGAAACUCACAGGCUCAACCUGUGCCGUGCCGUUGAAACUGUGUAUCUGGAAUGCGGAUGCUGUGGGAGGAAUGUGUAGUGUAGCGGUGAAAUGCAUAGAUAUUACACAGAACACCGAUUGCGAAGGCAUCUCACAAAGCCGUUAUUGACGCCGAGGCACGAAAGUGUGGGGAUCAAACA
Molecule: ribosomal RNA, 251 nt
Filed under: uncultured prokaryote
Description: partial 16S ribosomal RNA
Rfam family: Bacterial small subunit ribosomal RNA
Source: RNAcentral